RNAcentral lists this long non-coding RNA (3026 nucleotides) under Homo sapiens (human). RNAcentral describes it as "HSALNT0023795". Lineage: Eukaryota; Metazoa; Chordata; Mammalia; Primates; Hominidae. The record is from RNAcentral.
GCUGGCUCCGCCCACCGCGUGGUCCAAGGACCACCACCCGCCACCGCCGCGCGAGCGUACUAUUGCGGCCGCCCUCUGCUGCGCCUGAAGAGAGAGGCGACUCUACAAGCCUCACAGCAUGCACUGUUACUAAAAAGACGAUGCGUCCUCCUGGACCUGAGAUCUGUGUGAUCGUGGGAAAGCGACGAAAAACGAACAAAGGAACAGUAAAUGGAGUAACUUGGCUAGAAUAUGGCAGUAACUACAAGGCAUGUUCUGCUCUGGCACGAAGACAACCCACCUGAGGCACCAGACACAUGAGUGAAGCCAUCUUGGACAUCCCAGUCACAGCCAAACUCACUCCUGAGUGCAUCUGCAUGAUGAACCCAGCAAUCCCCACCAUGGAGCAAAGGAUCCAUCCAGUCAACCCAAAGAAUCGUGAAAAAUAAUAAAUUGUUGUUUUAAAGUUCUUCAGUUUGGGAAUAGCUUGUUAUGCAACAAUACAUAAUUAAUACACUGGUCUCCCACUUUCAAGUUUGAUUAACUUUCAGCUAUUUUUCACAUAGCAGGCAGAGUGAUUCCAUUAAAACAUAUAUCAGAUAAUGUCACUGCACUAAGUAAACUCUACAAGGACUCUCAUCUCCCUCAGAGUAAAGGUCACAGUUGUUACAAGGCCCUACGUAAUGUGGCCCUCACCACCACUCCAUUACCUUUUUCUUAUCUACUAUUUGCUAACUUUGCUUUGUCCUCUUUUCUGUUCUGAAACAGGCUAGGCAUGGUCCUGCCUCAAGGCCUUUGCACCACCUACUCUGUCUGCUUGGAUUGUUCUUCCCACAGAUUUCUUGCUCCCUUCUUCCUUCAUGAAGAAAUGUCAUGAAAUGUCCUUCCUUCAUGAAAUGUCACCUUCUCAUUUGAGGCCUUCUGUAGUACCCCAAAGAAUGGUCCCCAAAGAUGUCCACCAGAAAGUAAACUCCACGUAAAUAAGGAUUGUCUGUUUUAUUCUUUGCAGUAUCUCCACUGCCUAGGAUAGCAUCUGCACAUACUGCACACUCAGUACACAUUUGUCGAAUGAGGUCAGGCGCGGUGGUUCACACCUGUAAUCCCAGCACUUUGGGAGGCCAAGGCGGGUGGAUCACCUUAGGUUAGGAGUUCGAGACCAGCCUGGCCAACAUGGUGAAACCAUGUCUCUACUAAAAAUACAAAAAGUAGUUGGGCAUGGUGGCAUGUGCCUGUAAUCCCAGCUACUUGGGAGGCUGUGGCAGGAGAGUCACUUGAAUCUGGGAGGUGGAGGUUGCAGUGAGCCAAGAUUGUGCCACUCCACUCCAGCCUGGGCAACAGAGUAAGACUCUGGCUCAAAAAAAAAAAAAAAGAAAGAAAGAAAAAAAUACAUAUUUGUUGAAUGAACAAGUGAAUGAACAAAUGUUAUGCAAAUAUAUUAUCCCUAUCUGUAGCUUGCCUUUUAAUUUUGUUAUAGUAACUUUGGUUGAAAGGAAGUUCUAAAAUCUUUAAUAUAAUCAAAUGUAUCAAUCUUUUCAACUUGUAUAUUUUAUGCCUUGUUUAAUCAACUCUGUCUUAUAUCAAAAUUAUAAAAGUAUUACCCUGUAUUUUCUUAUAAAAGUUUUGAAUCUUUUCUUUUUCCACUUAGAUCAUUAAUCAACUUGGAAUUGGUGUUACAUAGUGGUAAAUGAUUGUCCCAGGACCACAUAUUGAAUAUUUUAUCAUUUCUCCACUGAUUUGUAACAACACAGUGGUUAUAUAUCCUGUUUAUACAUGGGUCUGUCUCUAGGUUUCCGGUUCUGUUCCAGUGGUCUGUUUGCUUACCCUUCUACUAAUAGCACAUUGGCCUAAUUACUAUAACUUUAUAAUGUGGCUCAAUCUCUGGAAAACCACAUACCUCUCCCCUCCUCUUUCUACAAUAUUCUUAUAUUUUGCAACUGGCCUUUACUGUUUUGUAUUAUUUUUAACAAUACCUUAUAUACCCACAUAUAUUAGAUGCUCUUAGCAUCACUAUUUAUAGCAUCUAAAAAUUGGAAAUUAUUUAAAUGUCCACCAAUACAUUAGUUAAAUAAAUUAGGUUAUACUCACAUAGUGGAAUACGAUACUGGCUUUCAAAAGAAUGAGGUAAAUUUACAUAUCUACAUUAAAAGGUAUUCAAGAUAUCAGAAAAAAGGGCAAGUUGCAAAACAAUAUUUAGAGUAAGAACCUAUUCAUGAAUUUUUUUAAUGUAAUUUGUGUUACAUGUAGAAAAAAAUAUGGGCAAGAAUACAUCAAAAUGUUAACAGUGGUUAUAUCUGAGGAUCAGGAAUAGGAAGAACAUUCGCUUUCUAAGGGUUAUUAUGGCACAGACUAACUGGGAUCCAGGAAGCUACUAUGGUCAACUGGUAAGUGUGGGAGUUUAUUGGGAUUAGGUGAUGAACAGGGUUGUUGUUUUGUUUUUUGUAUGCCUCAUGGUGCGCUCAAUGGGACUCUUAGCCCAUUAUAUUGUCACUUCCUGAAUAAAUAAAUAUAUAGUUGGAAUACAAGUCCUCAACAAUUGGCAGAAUUUUCACUUUGACCUUCUGAUCUGUGAAAUAUAUACUAUAAUUGUAGGAAGGACCAAGUGGAAAUCUUUGAAGCUCUUCCUAUCAAAAGGCAAAGCCAAAGCAAUACUACAUUCCUAGAGAAAUGUGAGGCUAUUACCAUCAUCAAAGACUUGUAAGAAACAGGAACGACUAUUCUUAGCACAUCCCUGUUUCACUUCCUUCUUUGGCCAGUGCAAAAUGAGUCUUGGACAGUGAGAGUGUUAAUUAGGCAGUGAUUCCAUUUGCAGGUGUUCUAGGUAGAGUCUCUUUUCGCAAGUAAAUCAGCACAGCCCCCAGCAUCUGAAAUUAUAGCCAUUGAUCUAACUGGUUCAUUUUUCUUUCCAUAAAUAAGAAAAGAACAUCAGAAGUAGUUUACUUUUACCUCACAGGGAUACCAGAACAUACUCAUUUCUUAUGUCGAGGCUGUCGGCUCAACAGCUUUGUGCAAGAAUUCAGUCCACUUUGCUUUGGUCCACUUAUCAAGAG